This 433-nucleotide ribosomal RNA is filed under the name uncultured bacterium. RNAcentral's name for it is "partial 16S ribosomal RNA". It matches the Rfam family "Bacterial small subunit ribosomal RNA", at positions 29 to 507 of the family's 1533-position model. The record is from RNAcentral.
AACGAACGCUGGCGGCAUGCCUAACACAUGCAAGUCGAACGAGACCUUCGGGUCUAGUGGCGCACGGGUGCGUAACGCGUGGGAACCUGCCCUUAGGUUCGGAAUAACUCCCCGAAAGGGGUGCUAAUACCGGAUAAUGUCUUCGGACCAAAGAUUUAUCGCCUUUGGAUGGGCCCGCGUUGGAUUAGCUAGUUGGUAGGGUAAAAGCCUACCAAGGCGACGAUCCAUAGCUGGUCUGAGAGGAUGAUCAGCCACACUGGGACUGAGACACGGCCCAGACUCCUACGGGAGGCAGCAGUGGGGAAUAUUAGACAAGGGGCGAAAGCCUGAUCCAGCAGUGCCGCGUGAGUGAUGAAGGCCUUAGGGUUGUAAAGCUCUUUUACCCGGGAUGAUAAUGACAGUACCGGGAGAAUAAGCUCCGGCUAACUCCGUG